RNAcentral lists this non-coding RNA (32 nucleotides) under Homo sapiens (human). Lineage: Eukaryota; Metazoa; Chordata; Mammalia; Primates; Hominidae. The record is from RNAcentral.
UGUAAGAAAGGCCAUAGCUAGAGCUUCUGCCA